CUUACACAUGCAAGUCGAACGGGCAGCACGGGUGCUUGCACCUGGUGGCGAGUGGCGAACGGGUGAGUAAUACAUCGGAACAUGUCCUGUAGUGGGGGAUAGCCCGGCGAAAGCCGGAUUAAUACCGCAUACGAUCUACGGAUGAAAGCGGGGGACCUUCGGGCCUCGCGCUAUAGGGUUGGCCGAUGGCUGAUUAGCUAGUUGGUGGGGUAAAGGCCUACCAAGGCGACGAUCAGUAGCUGGUCUGAGAGGACGACCAGCCACACUGGGACUGAGACACGGCCCAGACUCCUACGGGAGGCAGCAGUGGGGAAUUUUGGACAAUGGGCGAAAGCCUGAUCCAGCAAUGCCGCGUGUGUGAAGAAGGCCUUCGGGUUGUAAAGCACUUUUGUCCGGAAAGAAAUCCUUGGUUCUAAUAUAGCCGGGGGAUGACGGUACCGGAAGAAUAAGCACCGGCUAACUACGUGCCAGCAGCCGCGGUAAUACGUAGGGUGCGAGCGUUAAUCGGAAUUACUGGGCGUAAAGCGUGCGCAGGCGGUUUGCUAAGACCGAUGUGAAAUCCCCGGGCUCAACCUGGGAACUGCAUUGGUGACUGGCAGGCUAGAGUAUGGCAGAGGGGGGUAGAAUUCCACGUGUAGCAGUGAAAUGCGUAGAGAUGUGGAGGAAUACCGAUGGCGAAGGCAG
Molecule: ribosomal RNA, 684 nt
Filed under: uncultured beta proteobacterium
Lineage: Bacteria; Pseudomonadati; Pseudomonadota; Betaproteobacteria
Description: bacterial SSU rRNA
Rfam family: Bacterial small subunit ribosomal RNA
Source: RNAcentral